This 158-nucleotide unclassified non-coding RNA is filed under the name uncultured fungus. RNAcentral describes it as "partial internal transcribed spacer 2". Lineage: Eukaryota; Fungi. The record is from RNAcentral.
CAACCCUCAGGCCCCCCCGGGGGCCCGGUGUUGGGGGCCGGCCCCGGCCGCCCCCGAAAUGCAGUGGCGACCUCGCCGCAGCCUCCCCUGCGUAGUAAGCAAACACCUCGCACCGGAGCGCGGAGACGGUCACGCCGUAAAACGCCCCAACCUCCAAG